Molecule: ribosomal RNA, 498 nt
Filed under: uncultured Glomeromycotina
Lineage: Eukaryota; Fungi; Glomeromycota
Description: partial small subunit ribosomal RNA
Rfam family: Eukaryotic small subunit ribosomal RNA
Source: RNAcentral
CCAAUAGCGUAUAUUAAAGUUGCUGCAGUUAAAAAGCUCGUAGUUGAAUUUCGGGACCAUCAUGUCGGUCGUGCCUCGGUACGUACUGGCAUCGUCGGUUUCUCCCUUCUGACGAACCAUGAUGUCAUUUAUUUGGUGUCGUGGGGAAUCAGGACUGUUACUUUGAAAAAAUUAGAGUGUUUAAAGCAGGCUCACGCUUGAAUACAUUAGCAUGGAAUAAUGAAAUAGGACGUUUGAUUCUAUUUUGUUGGUUUCUAGGAUCGACGUAAUGAUUAAUAGGGAUAGUUGGGGGCAUUAGUAUUCAAUUGUCAGAGGUGAAAUUCUUGGAUUUAUUGAAGACUAACUACUGCGAAAGCAUUUGCCAAGGAUGUUUUCAUUAAUCAAGAACGAAAGUUAGGGGAUCGAAGACGAUCAGAUACCGUCGUAGUCUUAACCAUAAACUAUGCCGACUAGGGAUCGGAUGAUGUUAAUUUUUUAAUGACUCAUUCGGCGCCUUAC